GAUGUAGAACGUAGUGAAAUGCGAUAAGUAAUGUGAAUUGCAGAAUUCAGUGAAUCAUCGAAUCUUUGAACGCACAUUGCGCCCCUUGGUAUUCCGAGGGGCAUGCCUGUUCGAGCGUCAUUAUAACCCCUCAAGCUCAGCUUGGUGUUGGGGCCUGCUGCACUGGCAGCCCUUAAAAUCAGUGGCGGCGCCAUCUGGCUCUAAGCGUAGUAAUUCUUCUCGCUAUGGAGUCCUGGUGGAUGCUUGCCAUCAACCCCCAAUUUUUCUAUGGUUGACCUCGGAUCAGGUAGGGAUACCCGCUGAACUUAAGCAUAUCAAUAAGCGGAGGA
RNAcentral lists this unclassified non-coding RNA (329 nucleotides) under soil metagenome. RNAcentral's name for it is "partial contains 5.8S ribosomal RNA, internal transcribed spacer 2, and large subunit ribosomal RNA". The stretch from base 1 to 120 matches the Rfam family "5.8S ribosomal RNA", at positions 35 to 154 of the family's 154-position model. The record is from RNAcentral.